This 251-nucleotide ribosomal RNA is filed under the name uncultured bacterium. RNAcentral describes it as "partial 16S ribosomal RNA". It matches the Rfam family "Bacterial small subunit ribosomal RNA", at positions 71 to 339 of the family's 1533-position model. The record is from RNAcentral.
AAAGCAUCUUCGGAUGUUAGUAGAGUGGCAAACGGGUGAGUAACGCGUGGGAAUAUACCUUAUAGUACGGAAUAGCCUCGGGAAACUGGGAUUAAUACCGUAUACGCCCUUAGGGGGAAAGAUUUAUCGCUAUAAGAUUAGCCCGCGUCAGAUUAGCUUGUUGGUGGGGUAAUGGCCUACCAAGGCAACGAUCUGUAGCUGGUCUGAGAGGACGAUCAGCCACAUUGGGACUGAGAUACGGCCCAAACUCC